CUACAUAACCAGGGGCGCUCCGGCAGGAGCUGAGAUACGCAUGAUGCGUAGACCCUUUACAGCUGAUCUGGGUAAUGCCAGCGGAGCGAGGUACUUAAAUGUUCAU
RNAcentral lists this non-coding RNA (106 nucleotides) under Celeribacter halophilus. RNAcentral's name for it is "TPP sequence". It matches the Rfam family "TPP riboswitch aptamer (THI element)". Rfam says of the family: Vitamin B(1) in its active form thiamin pyrophosphate (TPP) is an essential coenzyme that is synthesised by coupling of pyrimidine and thiazole moieties in bacteria. The previously detected thiamin-regulatory element, thi box was extended, resulting in a new, highly conserved RNA secondary structure, the THI element, which is widely distributed in eubacteria and also occurs in some archaea. The record is from Rfam by way of RNAcentral. Lineage: Bacteria; Pseudomonadati; Pseudomonadota; Alphaproteobacteria; Rhodobacterales; Roseobacteraceae.